RNAcentral lists this ribosomal RNA (241 nucleotides) under Staphylococcus aureus. Its description in RNAcentral is "partial 16S ribosomal RNA". It matches the Rfam family "Bacterial small subunit ribosomal RNA", at positions 690 to 937 of the family's 1533-position model. Lineage: Bacteria; Bacillati; Bacillota; Bacilli; Caryophanales; Staphylococcaceae. The record is from RNAcentral.
GUAGAUAUUAGGAAGAACAUCAAUGGCGAAGGCAGCUAACUGGUUAUGUACUGACACUGAGGAACGAAAGCGUGGGGAGCAAACAGGAUUAGAUACCCUGGUAGUCCACGCCGUAAACGAUGAUCAUUAGCUGGUGGAAUUUUUCACUAGCGCAGCUAACGCAUUAAAUGAUCCACCUGAGUAGUAUGCUCGCAAGAGUGAAACUUAAAGGAAUUGACGGGGACCCGCACAAGCGGUGGAG